RNAcentral lists this ribosomal RNA (798 nucleotides) under uncultured Glomus. Its description in RNAcentral is "SSU rRNA". It matches the Rfam family "Eukaryotic small subunit ribosomal RNA", at positions 314 to 1114 of the family's 1831-position model. Lineage: Eukaryota; Fungi; Glomeromycota; Glomeromycetes; Glomerales; Glomeraceae. The record is from RNAcentral.
AUCAACUUUCGAUGGUAGGAUAGAGGCCUACCAUGGUGGUAACGGGUAACGGGGUGUUAGGGCACGACACCGGAGAGGGAGCCUGAGAAACGGCUACCACAUCCAAGGAUGGCAGCAGGCGCGCAAAUUACCCAAUCCCGACACGGGGAGGUAGUGACAAUAAAUAACAAUACGGGGUUCUUUCGGAUUUCGUAAUUGGAAUGAGUACAAUUUAAAUCUCUUAACGAGGAACAAUUGGAGGGCAAGUCUGGUGCCAGCAGCCGCGGUAAUUCCAGCUCCAAUAGCGUAUAUUAAAGUUGCUGCAGUUAAAAAGCUCGUAGUUGAAUUUCGGGACCAAUAUGUCGGUCGUGCCUCGGUACGUACUGGCAUCGUUGGUUUCUCCCUUCUGACGAACCAUGAUGUCAUUUAUUUGGUGUUGUGAGGAAUCAGGACUGUUACUUUGAAGAAAUUAGAGUGUUUAAAGCAGGCUCACGCUUGAAUACAUUAGCAUGGAAUAAUGAAAUAGGACGUUUGAUUCUAUUUUGUUGGUUUCUAGGAUCGACGUAAUGAUUAAUAGGGAUAGUUGGGGGCAUUAGUAUUCAAUUGUCAGAGGUGAAAUUCUUGGAUUUAUUGAAGACUAACUACUGCGAAAGCAUUUGCCAAGGAUGUUUUCAUUAAUCAAGAACGAAAGUUAGGGGAUCGAAGACGAUCAGAUACCGUCGUAGUCUUAACCAUAAACUAUGCCGACUAGGGAUCGGAUGAUGUUAAUUUUUUAAUGACUCAUUCGGCGCCUUACGGGAAACCAAAGUGUUUGGGUUC